CCUACGGGCGGCAGCAGUGAGGAAUAUUGGUCAAUGGCCGGAAGGCUGAACCAGCCAUGCCGCGUGAAGGUCAGUGCCCUAUGGGCGUUAAACUUCUUUUGUGCGGGAGCAAUAAUGGUCACGUGUGGCCAGACGAGAGUACCGUACGAAUAAGCAUCGGCUAACUCCGUGCCAGCAGCCGCGGUAAUACGGGGGAUGCAAGCGUUAUCCGGAUUUAUUGGGUUUAAAGGGUGCGUAGGCUGGGAGGUAAGUCAGCGGUGAAAUGCCCCCGCUCAACGGGGUGAAGUGCCAUUGAUACUGCCUGGCUGGAAUGCGGAUGCCGUGGGAGGAAUGUGUGGUGUAGCGGUGAAAUGCAUAGAUAUCACACAGAACACCGAUUGCGAAGGCAUCUCACGAAUCCGCGAUUGACGCUGAUGCACGAAAGCGUGGGUAUCAAACAGGAUUAGAUACCCUUGUAGUC
This 460-nucleotide ribosomal RNA is filed under the name uncultured bacterium. RNAcentral's name for it is "partial 16S ribosomal RNA". It matches the Rfam family "Bacterial small subunit ribosomal RNA", at positions 338 to 795 of the family's 1533-position model. The record is from RNAcentral.